This 494-nucleotide long non-coding RNA is filed under the name Podarcis lilfordi (Lilford's wall lizard). Lineage: Eukaryota; Metazoa; Chordata; Lepidosauria; Squamata; Lacertidae. The record is from RNAcentral.
CUUCAGUAGUUCAAACUCCUCUGGAGAGCUCACCAUCAUGUCUUCAUUUCUCUUUCUCCUUGCUCUUUUUAUUUACUGCUCAGGUAACGCUUUGGAGAAAAUCUCAUUUUCCAUUGGCCAACCAAAAGCUAACUGCAUUUAUCGUAUUUACUUAUUUGAGAACACUGAAAAUGUUCCUUUUUCUGAUUUGUUAUUAAACAGGUGUCACCUGCCAGUCAAUUUGCACUCAGCCUGCCUCCGAAUCUGUGGCACCAGGUCAAACCAUUAAACUCUCCUGUACAACUAGUGAUACUAUUUCCUACGUUCGCUGGUAUCAACAGAGAUCAGGGCAGGCCCCUCGAUUUGUGCAGUAUGAGGGUAGCAGCAGGGGAGAAGGGAUCCCGGAUCGGUUCACUGCUUCCCGCUCUGGGAACAAUGGCUAUUUAACCAUCACCAAUGUCCAGGCUGAAGACGAGGCCGUUUAUCACUGUGGCAGGUGGUAUGGUAACACGUUC